This 472-nucleotide ribosomal RNA is filed under the name uncultured bacterium. RNAcentral's name for it is "partial 16S ribosomal RNA". It matches the Rfam family "Bacterial small subunit ribosomal RNA", at positions 28 to 507 of the family's 1533-position model. The record is from RNAcentral.
GACGAACGCUGGCGGCGUGCUUAACACGUGCAAGUCGAACGCUGAAGCUUGGUGCUUGCACUGGGUGGAUGAGUGGCGAACGGGUGAGUAAUACGUGAGUAACCUGCCCUUGACUCUGGGAUAAGCCUGGGAAACUGGGUCUAAUACUGGAUACGACAUGUCACCGCAUGGUGGUGUGUGGAAAGGGUUUUACUGGUUUUGGAUGGGCUCACGGCCUAUCAGCUUGUUGGUGGGGUAAUGGCUCACCAAGGCGACGACGGGUAGCCGGCCUGAGAGGGUGACCGGCCACACUGGGACUGAGACACGGCCCAGACUCCUACGGAAGGCAGCAGUGGGGAAUAUUGCACAAUGGGCGGAAGCCUGAUGCAGCGACGCCGCGUGAGGGAUGACGGCCUUCGGGUUGUAAACCUCUUUCAGCACGGAAGAAGCGAAAGUGACGGUACGUGCAGAAGAAGCGCCGGCUAACUACGUG